RNAcentral lists this ribosomal RNA (439 nucleotides) under uncultured bacterium. RNAcentral's name for it is "partial 16S ribosomal RNA". It matches the Rfam family "Bacterial small subunit ribosomal RNA", at positions 339 to 795 of the family's 1533-position model. The record is from RNAcentral.
CUACGGGACGCUGCAGUGAGGAAUAUUGCACAAUGGGGGGAACCCUGAUGCAGCAACGCCGCGUGGAGGAUGACGCAUUUCGGUGUGUAAACUCCUUUUAUAUGUCAAGAAAAUGACGGUAGCAUAUGAAUAAGCACCGGCUAACUCCGUGCCAGCAGCCGCGGUAAUACGGAGGGUGCAAGCGUUACUCGGAAUCACUGGGCGUAAAGGACGCGUAGGCGGUGUGGAAAGUCAGGUGUGAAAUCCUACAGCUUAACUGUAGAACUGCACUUGAAACUUCUAAUCUAGAGUAUGGGAGGGGGAGAUGGAAUUAGUGGUGUAGGGGUAAAAUCCGUAGAUAUCACUAGGAAUACCUAAAGCGAAGGCGAUCUCCUGGAACAUUACUGACGCUAAGGCGUGAAAGCGUGGGGAGCAAACAGGAUUAGAUACCCCGGUAGUC